GCUGUGUUGCCAGAGUGGUUAAUGGGUAAGACUUGAAUUGUUUAUAAUUUGGUCAUCUUAUGGUUUCGGCCUCGUAGGUUCAAAUCCUGCACACAGCG
This is a transfer RNA of Pseudogymnoascus pannorum, 98 nucleotides long. It matches the Rfam family "tRNA". From Rfam's summary of the family: Transfer RNA (tRNA) molecules are approximately 80 nucleotides in length. Lineage: Eukaryota; Fungi; Ascomycota; Leotiomycetes; Thelebolales; Thelebolaceae. The record is from Rfam.